UCCCAUAUGGCCUAGUGGUUAUGAUUCUUGGUUUUCACCCAAGUGGCCUGGGUUCAAUUCCUGGUAUGGGAA
Molecule: non-coding RNA, 72 nt
Organism: Dunckerocampus dactyliophorus (ringed pipefish)
Lineage: Eukaryota; Metazoa; Chordata; Actinopteri; Syngnathiformes; Syngnathidae
Source: the annotation of a RefSeq genome assembly